AACGCACCUUGCGCCCUUUGGCCACUCCAAAGGGCAUACCUGUUUGAGUAUCGUGAACACCUCAACUCUCAUGGGUUUUUCCAUGAUGAGCUUGGAUUUUGGGGGCUUUUGCUGGCCUGCGGCCGGCUCCUCUCAAAUGAAUCAGCUUGCCAGUGUUUGUUGGCAUCACAGGUGUGAUAACUAUCUACGCUUGUGAUUUUCCCACCAGGUAACCUUCAGCAGUGGAGGUUCCGCCGGAAGCUCGCAAAUGUCUCUCCUCGGUGAGGACGGCUCUUUGAACGUUUGAUCUCAAAUCAGGUAGGACUACCCGCUGAACUUAA
RNAcentral lists this ribosomal RNA (320 nucleotides) under uncultured Tomentella. Its description in RNAcentral is "eukaryotic LSU rRNA". Lineage: Eukaryota; Fungi; Basidiomycota; Agaricomycetes; Thelephorales; Thelephoraceae. The record is from RNAcentral.